This 196-nucleotide ribosomal RNA is filed under the name uncultured Alteromonadales bacterium. RNAcentral's name for it is "partial 16S ribosomal RNA". It matches the Rfam family "Bacterial small subunit ribosomal RNA", at positions 335 to 523 of the family's 1533-position model. The record is from RNAcentral. Lineage: Bacteria; Pseudomonadati; Pseudomonadota; Gammaproteobacteria; Alteromonadales.
ACCCCUACGGGGGGCAGCAGUGGGGAAUAUUGCACAGUGGGGGAAACCCUGAUGCAGCCAUGCCGCGUGUGUGAAGAAGGCCUUCGGGUUGUAAAGCACUUUCAGUCGUGAGGAAAGGGUUGUAGUUAAUACCUGCAAUCUGUGACGUUAGCGACAGAAGAAGCACCGGCUAACUCCGUGCCAGCAGCCGCGGUAA